GGCGGACGGGUGAGUAACACGUGAAAAUCUGCCUUUUGGUCGGGGAUAACAGUUGGAAACGACUGCUAAUACCGGAUGAGCUGAGAAGUAAAAGAUUUAUUGCCAAAAGAAGAGUUCGCGCCUGAUUAGCUAGAUGGUGGGGUAAGAGCUUACCAUGGCGACGAUCAGUAGCUGGUCUGAGAGGAUGAGCAGCCACACUGGGACUGAGACACGGCCCAGAUUCCUACGGGAGGCAGCAGUGAGGAAUUUUCCGCAAUGGGCGAAAGCCUGACGGAGCAAUACCGCGUGAGGGAGGAAGGUUUUUGGAUCGUAAACCUCAAAACUUAGGGAAGAAAAAAAUGACGGUACCUAAUAUAAGCAUCGGCUAACUCCGUGCCAGCAGCCGCGGUAAUACGGAGGAUGCAAGCGUUAUCCGGAAUUAUUGGGCGUAAAGAGUCUGUAGGUGGCACUUCAAGUCUGCUGUCAAAGACCGAAGCUUAACUUCGGAAAGGCGGUGGAAACUGAAGAGCUAGAGUAAAGCAGGGGUAGAGGGAAUUCCCAGUGUAGCGGUGAAAUGCGUAGAGAUUGGGAAGAACACCAGUGGCGAAGGCGCUCUACUGGGCUUAAACUGACACUGAGAGACGAAAGCUAGGGUAGCGAAAGGGAUUAGAUACCCCUGUAGUCCUAGCGGUAAACGAUGGAUACUAGGCGUAGACCUGUAAUGGGGUUGUGUCGAAGCAAACGCGUUAAGUAUCCCGCCUGGGGAGUACGCACGCAAGUGUGAAACUCAAAGGAAUUGACGGGGACCCGCACAAGCGGUGGAGUAUGUGGUUUAAUUCGAUGCAACGCGAAGAACCUUACCAAGGCUUGACAUCCCGCAGAGUUUUCAGAGAAGAGAAUGUGCCUUAGGGAAUGCGGAGACAGGUGGUGCAUGGCUGUCGUCAGCUCGUGUCGUGAGAUGUUGGGUUAAGUCCCGCAACGAGCGCAACCCUCGUCCUUAGUUGCCAGCAUUAAGUUGGGGACUCUAGGGAGACCGCCGGGGAAAACUCGGAGGAAGGUGUGGAUGACGUCAAGUCAGCAUGCCCCUUAUGUCUUGGGCUACACACGUACUACAAUGGUUGGGACAAAGGGAAGCGAACUCGCAAGAGGGAGAGAACCCCAUCAAACCCUGCCUCAGUUCAGAUUGCAGGCUGAAACUCGCCUGCAUGAAGGAGGAAUCGCUAGUAAUCGCAGGUCAGCAUACUGCGGUGAAUCCGUUCCCGGGUCUUGUACACACCGCCCGUCACACCAUGGAAGUUGGUCACGCCCGAAGUCGUUAUUCAACCGUUGAGGAGAAAGAC
RNAcentral lists this ribosomal RNA (1319 nucleotides) under cyanobiont of Cymbastela stipitata. RNAcentral describes it as "bacterial SSU rRNA". It matches the Rfam family "Bacterial small subunit ribosomal RNA", at positions 97 to 1454 of the family's 1533-position model. The record is from RNAcentral. Lineage: Bacteria; Bacillati; Cyanobacteriota.